RNAcentral lists this unclassified non-coding RNA (556 nucleotides) under Hevea brasiliensis (rubber tree). The record is from RNAcentral. Lineage: Eukaryota; Viridiplantae; Streptophyta; Magnoliopsida; Malpighiales; Euphorbiaceae.
UCAGGCUUGUGGAGGUGUGUUGAACUAAAAGAUGCUUCUAUUGAGGCAGCCAUGGUAACUGCUGAUGGAAGUCCAUUAACAAAUGUUCCUCCUCCUGGAGGUGUUGUCAGAGUGGGUGUUGCUUGUCAACAGUAUUUGUCCAACACUUCUGUUGAGCAGUUAUUUUUUGUCUUGGAUCUAUAUGCUUACUUUGGCAGAGUUGGUGAAAAGAUUGCCUCAGUUGGCAGAAGUAGGAGACCAAAGAGAAUUGGGAAUGAAUCUUCAGGUGGUAGGCUAAUGGAUAAGGUUCCUUGUGAUACUGCAGUAAGCCUCGCAGUGAAGGGACUUCAGCUUAGAUUUCUAGAGUCUUCCUCCAUAGAUAUUGAGGGAAGGCCUCUGGUUCAAUUUAUUGGAGAAGAUCUUUUCUUCAAAGUUGCCCAUAGAACCCUUGGUGGCGCUAUUGCUGUGUCAUCCACUUUACAAUGGCAAACUGUUGAGGUGGACUGUGUAGAGACAGAGGGAAGUUUGGUUCAUGAAAAUGGCACAAUUUUAACUUCUGUUGAUAAUGGCUGGGUGG